UGGAGCCAGGCUUGAAGUGGAGGUUUUCUGGGGUUUUGAGUUUGGAGUUGCUGCAUUUUGGUCCCAUUGUUAGGGUUAUGGUAUAUGUGAGAAUGGGAUCUUCGUGUUGGAGGUUUUAACAAAAAUGGAAGAGGGAGACUGUAGAGACAGAAUAGUUAUAGAGACGGUGAGAAAUGGAGUGGAAGGAGUCCGACAGCCGGAUGAAAGGUGAGCCUACCGCACUUAUAUGGUUAUGUGGGAUAGGAAGAAUUACUAUUAUCCCCCUAGGUUUAGCUAUAAUUACA
Molecule: unclassified non-coding RNA, 284 nt
Filed under: Hevea brasiliensis (rubber tree)
Lineage: Eukaryota; Viridiplantae; Streptophyta; Magnoliopsida; Malpighiales; Euphorbiaceae
Source: RNAcentral